Meleagris gallopavo (turkey) is the source of this 4037-nucleotide non-coding RNA. NCBI's taxonomy places the organism in Eukaryota, Metazoa, Chordata, Aves, Galliformes, Phasianidae. The record is from RefSeq and is a predicted model, not a curated record.
GUGGGCGCGGCGCCCCGCUAUUCUGCCGCACUCCGGUUUGUGGCACUGCGUUCGCUGAGAGGCAACGGAGUGAAGCCAGUUUCUUUCAGUGUGGCUGUGAAGCAUCAUAAGUAGAACACUGAAAGACCUCCAGACAUCUUCCAAGUCAUUCUGCCCUUCGAUGUGUAACAGCUGUGAUCUGUACAGUACAGCUGAGCUGGAAUACCAUGAAUGUGUUCCAUCUUCUGCUUUGGGAUACUUGAUGAGUUGCAGUCUCUUCCUGAUGUAAAACCAGAGGGAUCAAAUGAUGCUAUAAAGUCUCUUCCAGGAGAAAAACGAGGCUGAGUUCCCUUUUUUGGCAGUGACAUAAAAAGAGGGCAAAUCCAUACGGAUCAAAGGAAAUAGUAUUACGUAAAACCAGGAACAGAGGGUAGAGUACGUGUGUUCUCCUCCCUUAAUAGGUAUCAGAGAGAUUAGCUUACGAAAAACCCAGAGAGCUCUGUUUUCAGUAUCUACAGCAAUUACAAACUCUUUUUGAUACCUUGGCAUGGUGACUGGGAGAAGCAGAGAUAACAUACAGGGCACUUCACUCUUGCCAGUGGAUAAGGUCCAAGUCGGUUUUUAAUGCCUGAAAAUUCCUGCUCUUUGGCUUAUAUGUCACUCUCAGCUCAUCCCAGGAAGAAUCACAAAUCCUUUUUGAAGAUGUGAAGCAAAAGAAUGUUUUUCCCUCCUGACUGUGAAGCCAGUUGUGGGCUGUUGCAAAGCUGUUGAAUUCCAGGGAUAGGGAGUGCUGGUAUGGAGCACUGGGUGCAGUAAAAGAAGUGGGCCUUAUGUAGGUAGUGUAGGGCAAUACGUGGAAGCCAACUGCUAUUUUUAUAACAUGUACUUCACACAGUCCUUCUGUAGCAUUUUUCAGUUUGGGAACUUGAGGAUGUUCUACAGCAGGGAGUUUUAUUAUGGUGAUUUUAGGGUUGAGAAGAGAACCAAGACGAAAGACAGGAGGUAGAAAAUCUUGAACAAAUGCCAGGUGAACGUUCAUAGAAUCACAGAAUCAUUAAGGUUGGAAAAGACCUUUAAGAUCAUCUACUCCAACCAUCAACCCAUCCCCACCACGCCCACUAAGCUGUAGAUGUCAGUGCCAAGUCCACGAGUUUCUUGAACAUCUCCAGGGGCAGUAACUCUACCAUCUCCCUGGACAGCUUGUGCCAAUGCAUUAGCACUCCUGAGAAGAAAUAUUUGUUAAUAUUUCACCUAUUCAAGGCUUUGACAGCCCUCUGCUCUUGGUGUUAGAGACAACAGCUUCUGCUCAUGUAUACUCCUUUUGUUUACAGUCUGCAUAUAGUUUGACAUGGAAAAGCAAAUCUUUAUCCCUUUUCAAUUGCUACAGCUUAGGACUGCAUUUGUUGGGAAAGCUAGGAUGUUAGAUCCUGUAAUAGAUACCACCUAGAACAGGAAAGAAUAUCACCUCCCUCUUAUUUUGUUCUUUCUGUGAGAUCUUCUGUGCCCACCACCAUUUUUGAUGAGUUGCAACAAGAGCUAUGCCCUUCCCUUUGAAAAACACAGGUGUUGCUUCAGCAGCAAUUAAUACACACACACUGGGACAGUUUGCUUGUGGACAGUACAAUGUCCUUUGCGUCGGAGAAGGAUCACACAAUUAUCUAGAUUGGAAGAUGAACCUUCAGGGUCACCAACUCCAACUGCCAAAGCUCCCUCCCAUCCUUAUUCAGAAUUAAAGAAAAAGGAACAGAGAUGGAUCCAAACAAGCUAUUUUUCCUCAUCUGUGCAUGCCGUAUGGCUGCAGUCACCAGAGGAUGGAGUUACUCACAGCACACUAAAGCAGGCAAUAAAACCAGCAGCGGUUCAGGUAAAGCAAACUGUGUUCCUCCAUGAAGUCUCUAUAUAAAUGCCAUUUAGAAAGGCAGUCAGAAUGGGAUUCAUGUCUUCUGAAGGGUGGUUCACUUAACAGGGGACACAGAGUACCCUAGGUGACUGUAUGUAACUAUUUCUGUCAACCUCCUGGCUGUAAUUACAGGUCUCACCCCUGUUGGCUUGUCCCCUGCCUUUAAUGAGAUCACUUUGAGAGAUAAGGCUGUCACUCCAUUAAAUCUGACUGUGGCCUGAGCAAAGAUGGUGAUCCACUAAAGCCAGUCAGGCUUGGCUAAGGUUCUCUGUGUGCUUUCUUUCCUCCCUCUGAUGAUGGAUGCAUCAUUUUGCAUUUCUGACAGUGUUUUGCAUUUUUCAGAAGCCUUUCAACUAGGUCAUUCAAAUGCUGUUUGCACAAACAAGACAAAGUGUCCUUAAAGGCCCUUUGAACAUGAGGUCUCUAUCCUUUGCCGUUGCAGAUGAAUGGUCCUACCUUCAUUCAGAGCCAUGGCUGUGUGGGUUGCAGAGGCGAAGGGCAGAAAUAUCAAGCAUUCCACUCAUUUUGAGUGCCUCAGUGUUAUGCUUGCACAAAACUCCUAAAAAAUUCCUAGGCACUUGGGUCCUGUCGUAGGUGGGAAAUUCAGCUGCUCAGCUUUUCUCAAUAAGGAAAAGGCGUCUCCAAACAGGACAUGGUUUUCCCAGCACCAGCCCCUGAACCUAGGGUGAGAUGGAUCACACAGAAGUCCCUGUGGUUUCUUCACUAAACUUGACCCAGUUCAAAGACCUGAACUUUGGAGUGAGACAAAGUUAGGGGCCGUGAAUUUCAUUGCAACUUGUCUUUCUUCUUGGAAAACUCUUGGCAGAGCUAGGAUCUGCCCCAUUUCUGCUUUGGUUCUCAUAUCUGAGGUAGCCCGGGGUAACCUCUGCUUAGAUCCACUAUUCACCAGAUACCAAUAGUUCCUUUUAAUGUCUUUCUGGGAGCAGCUCUGGGGAAAUGCAACUUUACACUCGUUCAACACACACUUUUACUAGGAUCACACCAUCAGUUUCUCAACAGUUGAAAUUGUGGUAAAUUCGCUGACUUGUACUUUGGGAUUUUUCCCUAAUGGAGCAAGGAGUCUACUGCCAAGCUCUACUCUGGGCAUGAUCCUGUUGCUUUCUUUGUUCUUUCUCACAGGCUGCUGGAAAAAAUGGCAUUCCCUGAGGCUGUAUUGUGCACAUUUGUCUAUCCAAGAUGCAAUUACAGAGGAGCCUGCAGACUGGGGAACAGCACUGAGUAGAAAGUCCCAAGAAAAUGUUCUUUGUUCCUUGAAUGACACUGCCCUGAACACAGGUGUCUGCCAAGUACAUGCCUUACCAGCAGCCCAGCUCCCUAUACCCACCCCCAUGUGGUUUUAUGUAUUUUUUUCAAUUAUAUAGUGUUUAGAUAGGUUAAGACCUCAGCUUGCCAGCACAUAGCUAUUGUCUGCAUGGGCAUGUCCUCAAGAAACAACGCAAAGAGCCCAUUAUGGUUUGGGAUAGACCUGAGCUGUGUAAUUGAGAUCUACCCUUAAGCCUCAAGAUGUUCUGCUCUAAUGCUCAGACCCAGCAGACUCCUCUCUUGCAGAUAAAAGCAAAAAACCACCAGACCCAGCAUUUCCAGAGCUCAGUUUUCCCAGUUUUAACAAGCCCAAGGAGUUUAUUUUGGCUUGAUGGCUCGGUGUCAGAGUUCAGAUUCUGCUUCGUGUGUUGAGGAGGAGGGCUGGAUGUUCCAAGCCUGGUAAUUGCAAUGAAAGUACUUAGUGAGUUUAGCAAAUACCUGCAAAAAAAUUCAUUGCAAGACAGGUCAGUAAAAGUCAUUUUCUUUGUGCCAGCAUAGCAAUAUUGUUAAGGAAUGCUUUUUUUAAUUGUUCAUUUUGGCAGAUAAGUUGAAAUUUCCAUAAUGGCAAAAAUGUUUGUGCAAAUGCUGUUAAAUGCACUUAUAAGUCUUUUUGCCAAUCUCUUGCCAUUUUUGUUUCAUUUAUCGAGAUCAGCUAAGCAAGUUCAGCAACAGAACUCUUCUGGUAACAGUAAAAGCAGUAAUCCCACAAGGAAGGUUUGCUAGGAUAGCUCUUCUGGAAUACUUUCAUUUGGAAAUUUUAACAAUGAGAUCCCACUGGAAUUAAAAUUUAUAUAGAUUGUGCAAAGAACUAGCAAUAAAGACAGCUUACAACCAA